This 254-nucleotide ribosomal RNA is filed under the name uncultured bacterium. RNAcentral's name for it is "partial 16S ribosomal RNA". It matches the Rfam family "Bacterial small subunit ribosomal RNA", at positions 524 to 776 of the family's 1533-position model. The record is from RNAcentral.
GACAGAGGUGCCGAGCGUUAGGCGGAAUCACUGGGCUUAAAGCGUGUGUAGGCGGGCGGGCAAGUACCUUGUGAAAUCCCACGGCUCAACCGUGGAACGGCUGGGUAUACUGCCUGUCUUGAGCCAACUAGGGGCGAGCGGAACAGACGGGUGGAGCGGUGAAAUGCGUAGAUAUCGUCUGGAACGCCAAAGGUGAAAACAGCUCGCUGGGGUUGUGCUGACGCUGAGACACGAAAGCCAGGGGAGCGAACGGG